Molecule: long non-coding RNA, 1268 nt
Organism: Ictalurus punctatus (channel catfish)
Lineage: Eukaryota; Metazoa; Chordata; Actinopteri; Siluriformes; Ictaluridae
Source: Ensembl
UAUACGUCCCCGAUUAUACACCCCUGAUAUACAUCCCCGAUUAUACGCCCCUGAUUAUACGUCCCCGAUUAUACACCCCCUGAUUAUACGUCCCCGAUUAUACGCCCCUGAUUAUACGUCCCCGAUUGUACACCCCUGAUUAUACAUCCCCGAUUAUACGCCCCUGAUUAUACGUCCCCGAUUAUACACCCCUGAUUAUACAUCCCGAUUAUACACCCCCGAUUAUACACCCCCGAUUAUACACCCCCGAUUAUACAUCCCGAUUAUACACCCCCGAUUAUAAACCCCGAUUAUACGUCCCCGAUUAUACACCCCUGAUUAUACGUCCCCGAUUAUACACCCCUGACUAUACACCCCUGAUUAUAAACCCCGAUUAUAUAUCCCAAUUAUACGUCCCCGAUUAUACACCCCUGAUUAUACGUCCCCGAUUAUACACCCCCGAUUAUACGUCCCCGAUUAUACACCCCCGAUUAUACGUCCCUGAUUAUACGUCCCCGAUUAUACACCCCUGAUUAUACGUCCCCGAUUAUACACCCCUGAUUAUAAACCCCGAUUAUAUAUCCCCGAUUAUACACCCCUGAUUAUAAACCCCGAUUAUACGUCCCCGAUUAUACACCCCUGAUUAUACGCCCCCGAUUAUACGCCCCCGAUUAUAAACCCCGAUUAUACGCCCCCGAUUAUAGGCCCCCGAUUAUAUGCCCCCGAUUAUAAACCCCGAUUAUACGCCCCCGAUUAUACGCCCCCGAUUAUACACCCCCGAUUAUACAUCCCGAUUAUACGCCCCCGAUUAUACGCCCCCGAUUAUACGCCCCCGAUUAUAAACCCCGAUUAUACGCCCCCGAUUAUACGUCCCCGAUUAUACGCCCCCGAUUAUACACCUCGAUUAUACACCCCCGAUUAUAAACCCCGAUUAUACGCCCCUGAUUAUACGCCCCCGAUUAUACACCCCUGAUUAUACGUCCCCGAUUAUACACCCCUGAUUAUACACCCCUGAUUAUACACCCCUGAUUAUAGACCCCUGAUUAUAGAUCCAGUGCAGCGUCGGAAUAUGAAGUGAUGUCUUAAUUUCGAUAUGUACAGACACACACUAGGCUGAGAUUAUCCAUCUCCCUCUUUCUCUCCCUCAUUUGCCCUCUCUCUUUCACGCUCUUCUCACAUUAUAGCGUUUACGUGUCAGCCGCGUUAUUUGACUUCCCUGACCUGUGCACUAACUAUCUGCUCUCUACAGUAGCUCCCAUUAAACACUGCUGAGCCUGGGUCACACGCUC